UACAGAGGGUGCGAGCGUUGUUCGGAAUUAUUGGGCGUAAAGGGCGCGUAGGCGGUGCGGUAAGUCACCUGUGAAAUCUCCUGGCUCAACUGGGAGCUUGCAGGCGAAACUGCCGUGCUGGAGUGUGGGAGAGGUGAGUGGAAUUCCUGGUGUAGCGGUGAAAUGCGUAGAUAUCAGGAGGAACACCUGUGGUGUAGACAGCUUACUGGACCAUUUCUGACGCUGAGACACGAAAGCGUGGGUAGCAAACAGG
This 253-nucleotide ribosomal RNA is filed under the name uncultured bacterium. RNAcentral's name for it is "partial 16S ribosomal RNA". It matches the Rfam family "Bacterial small subunit ribosomal RNA", at positions 524 to 776 of the family's 1533-position model. The record is from RNAcentral.